ACUGCUCAGUAACACGUGGCUAAUCUGCCCUUGGGACCGGAACACCCCCGGGAAACUGGGGCUAAUUCUCGAUAGGUGAAGAACUCUGGAAUGAGUCUUUGCCAAAAAGACGUUUACGUUAUGCUCGUAGGCGUCGCCCAAGGAUGAGGCCGCGACCGAUCAGGUUGUUGGUGAGGUAAUGGCUCACCAAGCCUUUUACCGGUGCGGGCCGUGAGAGCGGGAGCCCGGAGAUGGGCACUGAGACAAGGGCCCAGGCCCUACGGGGCGCAGCAGUCGCGAAAACUUUGCAAUACACGAAAGUGUGACAGGGCUAUCCCGAGUGCCAUCCGCUGAGGAAGGCUUUUACCCAGUCUAGAACGCUGGGGGAAUAAGGAGAGGGCAAGUCUGGUGUCAGCCGCCGCGGUAAUACCAGCUCUCCGAGUGGUGUGGAUGUUUAUUGGGCCUAAAGCAUCCGUAGCUGGCUGAGUUAGUCCCUUGUUAAAUCCACCGAAUUAAUCGUUGGAUUGCGGGGGAUACUGCUCGGCUAGGGGACGAGAGAGGCAGACGGUAUUUCCGGGGUAGGGGUGAAAUCCUAUAAUCCCGGGAAGACCACCAGUGGCGAAGGCUGUCUGCUAGAACGCGCCCGACGGUGAGGGAUGAAAGCUGGGGGAGCGAACCGGAUUAGAUACCCGGGUAGUCCCAGCUGUAAACGAUGCAGGCUAGGUGUUUGGACGGCCACGUGCCGUUCUAGUGCCGCAGGGAAGCUGUUAAGCCUGCCGCCUGGGGAGUACGAUCGCAAGAUUGAAACUUAAAGGAAUUGGCGGGGGAGCA
RNAcentral lists this ribosomal RNA (810 nucleotides) under uncultured archaeon. RNAcentral's name for it is "bacterial SSU rRNA". It matches the Rfam family "Archaeal small subunit ribosomal RNA", at positions 85 to 878 of the family's 1478-position model. The record is from RNAcentral.